AUGCGAAAGGCCACUCGGGAGCUUCUCCCAGGAGGAAAGAGCCCACGGGUCUUCCUCAGGGUGAUUGCCCUAGUCGCAGCCCUGGAGUCCCAGUGGAGGCCCUCGGACGGCACGUGCUGUGAACGCUUUGCUGUGUCCUCGGCCUUUUUGCUGACAUUUCUUGUAGCAAUUGUCAUUGCUAAAUGGCAGUGUCAACUGAGUCCAGACACGGGAAGAUCCUCGUCUCUGUCCCGUGGGGGAUCAAGUUCAAGUGAGUGUGCUGCUGGGGUCCAAGAGCUUCUGAAGAUUUUCUACUUCACAGUCCUGGAGGAAAUUGGGUCUUUCCAAGAGCACGUGAAGAACUGCCAUUGGCUAAAGCGUGGGCCAGGACAGACAGUCAUCCACAGUGCUCUCCAUGAAGCAUGCAUGCAUCUGCUAAGCAUAAACCACUCUGGGCCACUGAACGUGACACACAGGACCUGGGUGUAUGCCUCUGGUUCAUGGAGCCACAGCCUUCACAGAAAGAGCCCACAGAUGAAAGAAGAGAGAACGGGGCCUUUAUGCCAGAAGAGUAGUCCAUAA
Molecule: long non-coding RNA, 561 nt
Filed under: Oryctolagus cuniculus (rabbit)
Lineage: Eukaryota; Metazoa; Chordata; Mammalia; Lagomorpha; Leporidae
Description: lncRNA (ENSOCUG00000038900.1)
Source: RNAcentral